AUAUUGGUCAAUGGCCAGACGGCUGAACCAGCAACUUGGAAGAAUGAAUAACGAAUAAGUCGUAUAAAAUUCUAGAUAGGAAACAGAUAAUGACAAUUAACUAUCUAUUAGUCUUGACCAAAUUACGUGCCAGCAGUCGCGGCAACACGCAGAAGACAAGUGUUAUUCAUCUUUAUUCGGUUUAAAGGGUACCUAGACGGAAAAUAAAGCCAUAGUAGGGACUAAUAUUUCUAGAGUUUUAUGGAAGAGAGUCGAAUAUCUGGAGUAGAGAUACAAUAUGUUGAUACUGGGUAGACUGUUAACGGCGUAGGCAACUUUCUAUGUAAAAACUGACGUUGAGGGACGAAGCCCUGGGUAACGACAAGGAUUAGAUACCCCACUAGUCCAGGGAGACAAUGAUGAGUGCCAUAGGCUAGAAAUAUUAGUCUAUAAAUGAAAGUGUAAGCAUUCCACCUCAAGACUAAAGCGGCAACGCCCAAAUUGAAAUCAUUAGACCGUUCCUGAAACCAGUAGUGAAGUAUGUUAUUUAAUUCGAUAAUCCGCGAAUAACCUUACCACGUUUUGAAUACUACAGGUGCACGACCAAGUUAAUUAAAAUUAAAUUUAAUAGUAGUACAAGCGCUGCACGGCUGUCUUUAGUUGAUGUCGUGAGAUUUUGGUUAACUCCUCUAAUUAACGAAAACCCUUGUUUUAUAUAUAUAUAUAAAACAGUUCUCCACUAUAUUGGAUAAGAUAAUAGGGAUUAAGGCAAGUCAUCAUGGCCUGAAUAACGUGGGCUAUAGACGUGCCACACAUGCCUUUACAAAGGGAUGCGAUAUUG
This 820-nucleotide ribosomal RNA is filed under the name Verrucaria sp. 13 SPS-2021. Its description in RNAcentral is "SSU rRNA". It matches the Rfam family "Bacterial small subunit ribosomal RNA", at positions 361 to 1257 of the family's 1533-position model. The record is from RNAcentral. Lineage: Eukaryota; Fungi; Ascomycota; Eurotiomycetes; Verrucariales; Verrucariaceae.